Molecule: ribosomal RNA, 253 nt
Filed under: uncultured bacterium
Lineage: Bacteria
Description: partial 16S ribosomal RNA
Rfam family: Bacterial small subunit ribosomal RNA
Source: RNAcentral
UACGGAGGGGGCUAGCGUUGUUCGGAAUUACUGGGCGUAAAGGGCGCGUAGGCGGCGAUUCAAGUCAGGCGUGAAAGGCCUGGGCUCAACCCGGGAACUGCGUUUGAUACUGGAUUGCUGGAGUCCGGGAGAGGAUGGCGGAAUUCCCAGUGUAGAGGUGAAAUUCGUAGAUAUUGGGAAGAACACCGGUGGCGAAGGCGGCCAUCUGGACCAACACUGACGCUGAGGAGCGAAAGCCAGGGGAGCAAACGGG